RNAcentral lists this ribosomal RNA (251 nucleotides) under uncultured bacterium. RNAcentral describes it as "partial 16S ribosomal RNA". It matches the Rfam family "Bacterial small subunit ribosomal RNA", at positions 81 to 334 of the family's 1533-position model. The record is from RNAcentral.
UAGAAGAUGGCGACCGGCGCACGGGUGAGUAACACGUAUCCAACCUGCCCUUUACUCGGGGAUAGCCUUUCGAAAGAAAGAUUAAUACCCGAUAGCAUAAUGAUUCCGCAUGGUUUCAUUAUUAAAGGAUUCCGGUAAAGGAUGGGGAUGCGUUCCAUUAGAUAGUAGGCGGGGUAACGGCCCACCUAGUCUUCGAUGGAUAGGGGUUCUGAGAGGAAGGUCCCCCACAUUGGAACUGAGACACGGUCCAA